GGAUAUGGCAUGUUGGCUAUAUCCCCAAGGACAGCAGUCUUUGAGAGCAUUGGAAGUAGGAGGUAAGAUGGGGGUGGCUAGGACAUUUUCAAGUCCUGAAAGAAGCUGUGUGGCAAGUCAACUGGGGCAAUGCGAGCUAUUCUGGAAUCACCAAUCUUCAACUGGACAUCAGAGGAUGGCUACUGAAUUUGAAUGAUGACUCAAGUCUUCUGCAGUCCAUUAGCUAUAAGACCCUCAGGCAGGUGUCUUCUGAAAUAUGAAGAGAAAAUUAAGCAUGAAAAGUUUGUUGCAUGUCUUGUUUGUGUUAUAACUCAGCUUGAGACAAAGUGAGCUUUGUGGAGUCUUACCCUCUCUUCCCUAGUGAGCUUGGAAUUGGAUAUUAAAGGAAAAAACAAAGAGAUAUUUGUCUUAGAGCUUAGAGCACUGAACAAAACAGAGUGUGUGUGGGGGGGCAGUUAACUCUUUUGUGCUUCAAGGUAGCUGUUGCUAUGCAUUUUAUAUACACAUACAUGCUCAUAGAAAGCAGCAAAAACAUAAUAUUCAUAAUAAAGUGUAUGGGGAAAUUGACUUUAUGUAUAUAUUGUACCCAGUAGUAUAGUUAGAAAAAAAAAAAAGAAUAACGAGUUCAUGUUUUGGCCACUUCAAUAAGAAAUGCUUUCUUUCUAUGUAGCUCAAGGUAACAAGAUCCAGAUGAAAAGAAAUGACACCACUCAGAGCAAAAUAGCAUUUAUUUCUCACUGUCUCUAGUAAUGUGUGAGGGAGGAAGCAGGGGGCCUCUUUCUGACCAAAUUAUAUAAUUACUGAAAGUGUCAAUGGUAGAGGAAUUCUGGAGAGCCUUAUGCAUUUAGGAAUAUUUCUAAAAAUUCUAAUUUAAAAAAAUAGGAAGAAGAAGAAGAAGAAGAAGAAGAAGAAGAAGAAGAAGAAGAAGAAGAAGAAGAAGAAGAAGAAGAAGAAGAAGAAGAAGAAAAAGAAGAAGCAGCAGAAAUUGUGAAACAAAUAAGCUGUUAUAUCACCAAAAUCCCUCCCCUCACCUCCACUUUUUUCAUACACACCCAAAUGAGAAAAAAGUAAUUUAAAGUAUCCUCUAAUGUUUGACAUACUAAAAGCUAAGAAACUCCAAGAUAAUUUAGAUAAAUCAAAUAUUUUCUUCCUUUCAUUUCCCAGAUCUGUGAUUUAUAAGCAAGACCUAUGUGCUUUAUCCAUUGUGAACCCUCCUCAUCCUCAUUCAAUCUUGGAGACCAGCAUUUUCAGAAACAAAUAAUCCUUAAAAAAAUAAGAAGCCAGAGAGGGAUGAGUAAGGGGUGUGUGUGUGUGUGUGUGUGUGUGUGUGUGUGUCUUUCACAUCUAUGAGCAAAAGCAGCUUUCUACAACAAAAAGCAAUGCAAUCUUGUUGCCUUGAAUUGCCAUAGGGGGAAAUCAUCUUUUUCCCCCAAGGAGAAAUUUUUAGUCACUCAUCCAGUGCAAUAAAUGACAGUUUUUCUGUCAAUGUAGGGUUUUUUUUUAACUUCUCACACAAAAAGCCUAAAGCUUGGAUAUUUGUAGGAAUGGCCUUCUCUUCCCUUCCCCUGCAAAAUUGCCCUGCUCCUCACCCCAUUUAACUAUGAGAAUGUUAAAGACAAUUACAUGAACUUUAUAUCUGAUGGCAAGAUAUCAUAUUUAUUUUUUAUUGUCAAGAAGAGUCUUUUGGUACUUUUUUCUUUUGCACCCUUAGGCCCUGUGAGAAUAUCCAGGUAUGGGCAUUCUGAGGAACCAUAACUGACAUCCUCCUUUUUUGUUUUUGUUUUUGUUUUGUUUUCUACCACUUUCUCAAUGAGGACAAGUCCAGGGUUAUGAUAUACAUAUGUCAUCACACAUGUAUAUUACAUAUACAUAUGAUAUACAUAUGUCCCCACAUGUCACCUUUAGACUUUAGCAGUUAUUGCCAAAGCAGGUUGAUUGUUCUUCAUCAGAUCAGUAACACUGAAUAUUAAUUGACAUUCAUGGUAUAUAAAAGUUCUGAUUUGUUUUGUCUAUGUCCAUUAACAAGGUCUUGUUCAAUAAUGAGAGCUUCCAUUUAUUGGCAACUUGCCCUGUGCCUGGCAUUGUACUCAUAUCCUUCAUACAUUUCCCAUGUAAUAUUUUCAACAAUGUGCAAAGAAUGGUGGUUGUCCAUAUUUUGUAGAGUAAUUGCCAUUAAAUUUUGAAUAGCAGUUUCAGCCAUAAUAUGCAUAAGAAGAGUAUUCAGUUUCCACUGCUGCUGUAACAAAUAACCAUAACUGUAGUAACUUAAACCAACCCCCAGUUGUUACCUCAAUCCUGUAGACCAAAAAUCUGGCCAGGGCUCCUCUGGGUUCUCUGCUCAGGUUGAAAUAAGAUGAAAAUCUUGUUUCUGGGUUCUCAUCUUGUUUCUGGCUGGGUUCUCAUCAGGAGCUGAAGGUCUUCUUCCAAGCUUAUUAAGAUUUUUGGCAGAAUUCAAUUUAUUGUGGCUGUAGGGACUCAUGGGGACUUCUUUAAAGAGAGCAGGAGAGUAUCUGCUGUCACUCAACUCAGUCAACUGAUUAGGGACCUUAAUUACAUUUGGAAAAAUCUCUUUUGCUUUAUAAGGAAACAUAAUCACUGAAAUUAUAUUCUAUCAUAUUCACUGUUUCUACUCCCAAUCAAUUGGGAGAAGAUUAUAAUGAGCACAUACACCAGAAAAUGAGGAUUUGGGGGUUCAUCAUAGAAUUCUACCUACACAAAGGGGGUUGCCAUUUUUCCCCAUUGGCAACCAUAUGGACAUUUCCUAGAAACACUGCAAAUAGUUUUAUUUUUAAAAAAAUAUUUAAUAGUGUGAAAUUAAAUUUUGAAAAAAAUUAAAAUGUUUAGCUUUAUUAAGAACAUUUUAUUUAUUUUUAUCUUGAUAUUCAUUCAUGCUCAUUUGGAUCUUAUUUUUUAGAUACUUUAAAAAUUAGCUAUGGAGUAUCUAAAAAAUAAUUUUAGUGGUUUGAUGUUUUUUACAUUUCCUGAUUGACAUUUACUCAUGGGAGAGGCUGUGCACAUGGAUCUCAAGUGUCCCUACACAUAACUUCUGAGUGUGUCAAACCAUAAGGCCUAACUGCCCUCCCUCUGAGUGAUCCUAUAGCUAGAAACAUAACCAAUUCAGUUGAUUAAGGUCUCCACAACAUGAGUAUCCUGCAACUGCUUACUUCUUAAGACUGAGGCUAUUUUGGAUCUUUUCAUAUAGUCUGCCAUUUGAAUAUCUCUCAAAUAAAUUAGAAAGUAACAGACUCAUCUAAUUUAAUAAAUGGGAAAAGACUUGAACAGUCACUUCACAAGUGAGCCAUGAUGCCGUUUAUGCAUCUUAAACUGGGGAUAUGCUAUGGUUAACUAAGAAAACUAACUUCACAGCAACAAACUCCGCUAAUUUGGGACUCAUCAAAAUGUAGAUCAGGAAUGCUAACAUGUGACAGUGCCAACACCUGCUGAGGCUUCAGUCUUCUGAGGAGUUGGUGAGUUAUCUAAUGUACAAUGUAGAAGAACAGACAGGUACUAGUUAACUUGAAGAUGCAUCACUUCAUCUCAUCAAUAGUUCUCUAGCCGUGCGUGGUGGCACAUGCAUGUAAUCCCAGCUACUUGGGAGGCUGAGGCAGGAGAUUCUAUUGAACCUGGGAGGCAGAAGUUGCAGUGAGCUGAGAUUGCGCGGCUGUACUCCAGCCUGGGCAACAGGAGAGACUCUGUCUCAAAAUAAAUAAACAAACAAACAAAUAAAUAAAUAUAAACAUUGUAACAUUAGUGAUAUAGUUUGGGUAGUUGUCACUUCCAGAACUCAUGUUCACAUCUGCUCUCCAGUGUUAGUGGUGGAGCCUAGUGGAAAGUGUUCUGGCUUUAAGACAGAGCACUCAUGAAUGGCUUGGUGCCAUUAUGGCAGUAGAGUGAGUUCUUGCUCUGUUAGUCCCCAGGAGAAAUGACAGUUAAAAAGAAUGUGGAACCUCCCUCCCCUCUCUCUUUCUUCCUCUCUUGCCAUGUAAUCUCUGCACAUGCUGGCUCCCUUUUCCCUUUCACUAUGAGUGGAAGUAACCCAUGGCCCUCACCAGAAGUAGAUGCUGGUGCCAUGCUUCUUGCAUAGCUUGCAAGAACAGUGAGCCAAAUUAACCUCUUUUCGUUAGUUUCUCUAACACCAGUGUCAGAUGUUCCCUUAUAGCAAUACAAAUGGCUAUCAAAAUUUACAGAUGAAUCCAGAGAAACAUAUGACUAUUUUAUUUGUUUAUGUAUGUCAUAUUCCACAAACUUGAUAAAAUAACUUGGUCCUCUAUGAACUAGUUAUACCUGUGAAAUUAUACCAUAAAGCAAAGAAGCAAAAUAACAUGACAAAAUGAGCUAACUAGUAGAGUUCUAAAGAGCUAAAUUAAGCAGUAAUAAA
This 4378-nucleotide long non-coding RNA is filed under the name Homo sapiens (human). RNAcentral describes it as "HSALNT0225131". Lineage: Eukaryota; Metazoa; Chordata; Mammalia; Primates; Hominidae. The record is from RNAcentral.